This 119-nucleotide ribosomal RNA is filed under the name Periophthalmus magnuspinnatus. Lineage: Eukaryota; Metazoa; Chordata; Actinopteri; Gobiiformes; Gobiidae. The record is from RNAcentral.
CUUUGUGUCCAAACCUCUUUCACAAAGUCUGAUCUCGUCAGUUCUCAGAAGCUAAGCAGGGCUGGGCCUGGUUAGUGGUUGGGUAGGAGACCACCAGGAAAAACAGGUCCACACUGGGG